AAAUCAUGUAUUUACAAGCCAUCAAAUAAUCCAAUAAAUCACCACAACUUGAAUAUGACACUUGUAUGUUGUAGUACAUUUGGACUUCACUAUCUUGUCAUGCCAUUGGGUUUGGAUGUGCACUAGGCUUCAAUACUUGACUCAAUCAUAUGAUGAACAAUGUAGGAUCAAUUGAAUCGAGCCUUCAAUGCCGAUGGUACCUACAAUCAAUCAUCCACUCUUUGAUGGUACCCAAACUAGUUUGGGUUCUCUCAAGUUAGGAGUAACAUACUUAGGCGAUGCCUUAGUAUGAGUAGCGGGAUGUUGUACAAUAGUAACCAUAGAGGUAUCAUCACCAUCUCUUCUAAGCACAUUAUUAUCAUCGAUGGAAAUAGGCUUAGAAUUCUCACCUAUGGGAUAUGAAUAAGCCAUGU
Molecule: long non-coding RNA, 413 nt
Filed under: Sorghum bicolor (sorghum)
Lineage: Eukaryota; Viridiplantae; Streptophyta; Magnoliopsida; Poales; Poaceae
Description: long non-coding RNA (SBIC_LNC017369)
Source: RNAcentral